This 253-nucleotide ribosomal RNA is filed under the name uncultured bacterium. Its description in RNAcentral is "partial 16S ribosomal RNA". It matches the Rfam family "Bacterial small subunit ribosomal RNA", at positions 524 to 776 of the family's 1533-position model. The record is from RNAcentral.
UACGUAGGGUGCAAGCGUUAAUCGGAAUUACUGGGCGUUAAGCGUGCGCAGGCGGUUUUGUAAGUCUGACGUGAAAUCCCCGGGCUCAACCUGGGAAUUGCGUUGGAGACUGCAAGGCUAGAAUCUGGCAGAGGGGGGUAGAAUUCCACGUGUAGCAGUGAAAUGCGUAGAGAUGUGGAGGAACACCGAUGGCGAAGGCAGCCCCCUGGGUCAAGAUUGACGCUCAUGCACGAAAGCGUGGGGAGCAAACAGG